Molecule: long non-coding RNA, 1391 nt
Organism: Betta splendens (Siamese fighting fish)
Lineage: Eukaryota; Metazoa; Chordata; Actinopteri; Anabantiformes; Osphronemidae
Exons: 3
Source: RefSeq, a predicted model, not a curated record
CCCGAUGGCAUCUUCCACCGUAUUUCUCAACCAGACAUCAGAAAUCACAAACAGACGAACAGUCUAGAUUCAUGAUCCUCUCCGAUCGUAGAUAAAACCACAGACGUUUGACGGAAUCAGACUCACUGACCGUGGUCAUGUUUUUAUUAGUCAGGAGUGCGUCAUAGUUAGCUUUAAUUAGUUUAGUAUUAGCAGUUGCUACCGACAUUCUGUAGCUGUAACGUCGGAAAUCCCGUCUGAAAGCGAAGGCAGAUCAACAGACCCUUCUUGUUCGUCAGUUCUGAGAAUCGCGAUCCACGCUUUACUCUCUUGGUCCCAGGUUUGCUCCAGUGACAGCCCCACGGGAUCUACUCCACCCAGGGAGUCGCCCAUCACUGCAAAUCAAGCGCGAGGCUGACAGCUUGGCUCUGCUCCAAAAGCGUGUUUCCAGUUGGGAGCGAUCCAAAGAAAACCCGGAGAGCUCCGCCAAGUUCCUAACGAGCGAUCCAGGCAACUGGAGCCAACCAGUGAGGAGCCAGCCUCUUCCUCGCCGGCGCAGCAGGAGAGCUGGAGGCGCACUCGCUCGGGCCUCGUCUGCAGCCGGAGCCAAGUCGUCCGUUCAUUACCGGCAACAAGCGGCGUGAACGGCAUCAGCAGCAGAAGAAGAAGCCUCUCAUUGAUGGAAGUCUCUGGCAGCAUAUUUCAAGCUGACAUCAUUCAGCGUUUGACUGUAUCUGACAAACGGAGCUGCUCGCUGGGCAGUUGGACGUGUGUUAUACCCAGAGGAUGCGGGAGCUCCGUACGUUUUCACAGUCACUUCACAGUCCAGGCAGCAGCACAACGACGGACAGAGAAGAUCUCUCCUCCUCAGGAGGAGGACGGAGACACGCGAACGAUAAAGGUCAUCAGAAAAACACUCCCUACAAAUAUUAGGCGGAAUAAAUGCACAGAUUAAUUGGCAAAUUAAAUGACCUAACGCACAAUUUAUGUUCUACCAUCUACCAUCACAGUGUUGCAUCACAUCCUAGAAGUUUCUUUUAUAAGUGUCUAUGAAUAAAUCACUAAAUAACAUAAUAUCCAGUGUAGUCAGUGAAGAUGAUGCCAUUCCUAUAGAAGCAGCUGUUGCUGUAACAGCAGAAUUAAUAAUAGAUGCAGACGAUGCAGCGUAACCACGGGGUCACAUGUGAUGCGUGGACGCGCUGCAUCCAGCUGCUCCCUCCUUAAAACAGCCACGGAGCUGCAUGAAGCAGUGAUGAGCGUCUGGGUGUCACACACCUACAUGACUGCACCACAGCGCACGUUAUUGACACCAGCAGCUCCACAGUGGAGCCUAUAGCGCUGCUCUCAGAGUCACUGUUCAGCAUCGCUUUGAUGCACAUCAAAAAAAAAAAAAAAAACGGGACUUCCCUUUU